Molecule: ribosomal RNA, 513 nt
Filed under: Stenodactylus slevini
Lineage: Eukaryota; Metazoa; Chordata; Lepidosauria; Squamata; Gekkonidae
Description: partial 16S ribosomal RNA
Rfam family: Bacterial large subunit ribosomal RNA
Source: RNAcentral
CAAGUAUUAAAGGUCCCGCCUGCCCAGUGAUACUAUAUUUAACGGCCGCGGUAUCCUAACCGUGCAAAGGUAGCGUAAUCACUUGCCCCUUAAUUAGGGGCCUGUAUGAACGGCUAAAUGAGGGCCUACCUGUCUCUUGCAGCAAGGAAAUGAAACUGAUCUCCUAGUACAAAAGCUAGGAUGCCCCCAUAAGACGAGAAGACCCUGUGGAGCUUACAAACACUAUUGCUACGCUACUAUAAAUCCCAACCACCACACUAGCAAUAAUUUUUAGUUGGGGCAACUAAGGAGAAAAACAAAACCUCCAAGCACCAACUCACCCUUACCCCAGGCUCACCGGCCACAGCCCAAAAAGACCCAGCACCGCUGAUCAUCGAACCAAGUUACCCCAGGGAUAACAGCGCUAUCCUCUUCAAGAGUCCCUAUCGCCAAGAGGGCUUACGACCUCGAUGUUGGAUCAGGACACCCCAGUGGCGCAGCCGCUACUAAAGGCCCGUUUGUUCAACGGCUAAC